Theobroma umbraticum is the source of this 270-nucleotide long non-coding RNA. RefSeq lists it as uncharacterized. Lineage: Eukaryota; Viridiplantae; Streptophyta; Magnoliopsida; Malvales; Malvaceae. The record is from RefSeq and is a predicted model, not a curated record.
GGUGCUUUUGCUCUACACAUUAUCUCAAUAGGCCCUCCUCAAUUGAUCUGCCAAUUAACCAUUCUCUCAUCAAUUGCUGCAACAGGUUUUCUAUCAACAGCAGACAGGGCUAAUGGGGAAAUCUCUACUUCAAAUUCAAUUCACCAAAGGAGAUGUUCUUCCUUGUCACAAGGCAUGGAUUCUCCAAGUAGUAUAGCUUGCAAAUUUUGGGUUUUUAGAUGUUAUAUUUGUUCAUCCAUUACACUGAACUAUUGUAGAAUACAUUGUGAA